Molecule: ribosomal RNA, 328 nt
Filed under: Corbicula sp. CFG2b
Lineage: Eukaryota; Metazoa; Mollusca; Bivalvia; Venerida; Cyrenidae
Description: partial 28S ribosomal RNA
Source: RNAcentral
CCGGCCGCCCCAGGGGAACUCGCAAAGUUUCGGAUCCGCAAGGACCGGGCCAGCGGACGUCCGCGUGGCAGGGUGCACUUUCUCCGCGGUCGAGUGCUACGACCGGUUUCGCGGCGGUCAGAAGCCCGGCGGAAAGGUAGCGCCGCCCCUCGGGGUGUCGUGUUAUAGGCCGCCGCGGUGGACUCGCCGCGAGACCGAGGACGCUUGCCGCGCCGAGCGGUCCCGGGCCGUCUUGGGAGGUUCGACCUCGGCUGCACUGCUCCGCAGAGCACCGUAACCGCCGCCCUAGCACGGGUCCGGAGACUGCCGGCGCCUCGGGUCAGUAGCG